CGGCUUGCCUGGCAGAGGCGAUGCCGGGACCACGAAGGUGGUUUCCCCGGGGCGAGGGUCAGGCCCUGCACUCCGGACAUGCCGACCCCUGCAGGCCCCCCAACUGUGGGACCCCGGACGCAGAGUCUGGUCAUGGGGGGCUCGUCUGCACCGUCCCCAG
This is a small nuclear RNA of Phyllostomus discolor (pale spear-nosed bat), 160 nucleotides long. RefSeq annotates it as U1 spliceosomal RNA. NCBI's taxonomy places the organism in Eukaryota, Metazoa, Chordata, Mammalia, Chiroptera, Phyllostomidae. The transcript has a single exon. The record is from RefSeq and is a predicted model, not a curated record.